GACGAACGCUGGCGGCGUGCUUAACACAUGCAAGUCGAACGGAAAGGCCCUGCUUUUGUGGGGUUCUCGAUUGGCGAACGGGUGAGUAACACGUGAGUAACCCGCCCUUGACUUUGGGAUAACUUCAGGAAACUGGGGCUAAUACCGGAUAGGAGCUCCUGCUGCAUGGUGGGGGAUGGAAAGUUUCGGCGGUUGGGGCUCGAAUGGCGGCUUAUCAGCUUGUUGGUCGGGUAGUUACUGACCAAGGCUUUGACGGCUAGCCGGCCUGAGAGGGUUACCGGCGACCUUGGGACUACGAGACGGACCAGACUCCUACGGGAGGCAGCAGGGGGGAAUAUUGCACAAUGGGGGGAAGCGUGAUGCAGCAACGCCGCGUGCGGGAUGCCGGGCUUCGGGUUGUAAACCGAUUUCGACUGUGACGAAGCGUGAGUGACGGUAAUGGGUAAAGAAGCACCGGCUAACUACGUG
RNAcentral lists this ribosomal RNA (468 nucleotides) under uncultured bacterium. Its description in RNAcentral is "partial 16S ribosomal RNA". It matches the Rfam family "Bacterial small subunit ribosomal RNA", at positions 28 to 507 of the family's 1533-position model. The record is from RNAcentral.